CUCUCGUCACGGGGAGGUAGUGACGAAAAAUAACGAUACGGGACUCAUCCGAGGCCCCGUAAUCGGAAUGAGUAUACUCUAAAUCCUUAUACGAGUAUCAAUUGGAGGGCAAGUCUGGUGCCAGCAGCCGCGGUAAUUCCAGCUCCAAUAGCGUAUAUUAAAGUUGUUGCGGUUAAAAAGCUCGUAGUUGGAUCUGUGUCCCGCACCGACGGUUCGCCGCCUGUCGGUGUUCAACCGCCGUGUACGCGGGACGUCCUGCCGGUGGCGGUCCGGCUCUAAGUCGGCACGUAGGGGUCGUCCUUGCUAUGCUUGCGUCGUCCCCGAAGGCCUUCGCGGAUCCGGCCGCCUUUUACAUCCCGUCGCGGUGCUCUUCACCGAGUGUCGAGGCGGGCCGGCACGUUUACUUUGAACAAAUUAGAGUGCUUUAAGCAGGCCCUGUCCCGCCUGUAUGUUGUGUGCAUGGAAUAAUGGAAUAGGACCUCGGUUCUAUUUUGUUGGUUUUCGGAAUCUGAGGUAAUGAUCAAUGGGGACAGGCGGGGGCAUUCGUAUUGCGACGUUAGAGGUGAAAUUCUUGGAUCGUCGCAAGACGGACCGAAGCGAAAGCAUUUGCCAAGUAUGUUCUCGUCGAUCAAGAACGAAAGUUAGAGGUUCGAAGGCGAUCAGAUACCGCCCUAGUUCUAACCAUAAACUAUGCCUGCCAGCGAUCCGCCGAAGUUCCUCCGAUGACUCGGCGGGCAGCUUCCGGGAAACCAGAGCUUUUGGGUUCCGGGGGAAGUAUGGUUGCAAAGCUGAAACUUAAAGGAAUUGACGGAAGGGCACCACCAGGAGUGGAGCCUGCGGCUUAAUUUGACUCAACACGGGAAAACUCACCAGGCCCGGACACCGGAAGGAUUGACAGAUUGAGAGCUCUUUCUUGAUUCGGUGGGUGGUGGUGCAUGGCCGUUCUUAGUUGGUGGAGCGAUUUGUCUGGUUAAUUCCGAUAACGAACGAGACUCUAGCCUACUAACUAGGCGUACCCGGUAUCCACAAUCGUGCUACCGGCGAUCAAAUUUCUUCUUAGAGGGACAGGCGGCUUCUAGCCGCACGAGACUGAGCAAUAACAGGUCUGUGAUGCCCUUAGAUGUCCUGGGCCGCACGCGCGCUACACUGAAGGAAUCAGCGUGUCUUCCCUGUCCGAAAGGACCGGGUAACCCGCUGAACCUCCUUUGUGCUAGGGAUUGGGGCUUGCAAUUGUUCCCCAUGAACGAGGAAUUCCCAGUAAGCGCGAGUCAUAAGCUCGCGUUGAUUACGUCCCUGCCCUUGUACACACCG
RNAcentral lists this ribosomal RNA (1311 nucleotides) under Hemisphaerius sp. 2 NS-2013. RNAcentral's name for it is "SSU rRNA". It matches the Rfam family "Eukaryotic small subunit ribosomal RNA", at positions 448 to 1671 of the family's 1831-position model. The record is from RNAcentral. Lineage: Eukaryota; Metazoa; Arthropoda; Insecta; Hemiptera; Issidae.